Xenopus tropicalis (tropical clawed frog) is the source of this 726-nucleotide long non-coding RNA. RefSeq lists it as uncharacterized. The record is from RefSeq and is a predicted model, not a curated record. Lineage: Eukaryota; Metazoa; Chordata; Amphibia; Anura; Pipidae. The transcript has 7 exons.
GAAAGAAAAAGAAGACCAUUCAAAACCUUUGAGAAAGAGAAAAUCCAGCAGUGACUCGAGAAAAUCCAGCAGUGACUCGAGAAAAUCCAGCAGUGACUCGAAGAUUUCGAGCAUCUAAGGCGGGAUAGAGAGACGACACUGGACUGAGGCUCUUAAUGAUGUCCUCACUGGGUCCCCGCUUGAUCCCUUUUAUGUCUCCCACAUAUAUAAUCCCCGUGCUGCAUGGCUGGUUAGCAAUGAGUAAAAAUGCUGCAGGACACACUGAGUUCUAAAAGAAAAGAAAUUUCACGCUGUCGUGUAAAAAUGGUUGUGGUCACGUCAAAAAAAGGGCGCAGCCACGGCAAACUGGGUGUGGUCAAAUCAAAUUGGGCGUGGUUGCGUCAGAAAAGGGUGCUGUCGCGUCAAAAAAACAUAGGCAACAAAAAAAACCGCGGGUGCCAAAAAAAAAAAUUUUUGCCAUUUUUCGAAUCUUCUUGCUGUUUCGCAAAUUUUAUGGCGACGCAAAAUGGAACAGAUUCGCUCAUCACUACUGUUAUGUAUUUAGUACAGAUCAGGAGAAAGCUUUCCUCACAGUGGUGCAAUCUAGAAUAGCUACUUUUUAUUUGUUGCCCUAACAACAAGUAUACAUGAUCUUUUGUUUCCUGCUCUCAAAGAUCCUUCAGAGCUUGGCAGGAGUCUACUCAGUUUGCUCCUCUCUCCCUCUUCCCCUCCCAUCUCUCCUCUCCC